This is a non-coding RNA of Petromyzon marinus (sea lamprey), 426 nucleotides long. NCBI's taxonomy places the organism in Eukaryota, Metazoa, Chordata, Hyperoartia, Petromyzontiformes, Petromyzontidae. The record is from RefSeq and is a predicted model, not a curated record.
AAUGAUGGUUGCUUGUGUUGCAACCGAAACGUCGUAUUCUAUUAUUAUUUUAUUUUCUACGUUACUUUACCGAAAUAACCAAAGAGUAAUUUUAUUCAUAAUAACAAUGGCACAGGGUCUUCACGUGGAAUCCACAGUUGACAGUGCACUCUGAUAAUUUACUGAAGCGAGUAGCUGGUCUUUCUCACCAGGGUGCAAUCCCAUUGAGAGAGGUGAAAUCUCAUUGAGAGAGGUGCAAUCCCAUUGAGAGAGGUGCAAUCCCAUUGAGAGAAGUGUAAUCCCAUUGAGAGAGGUGACAUCUCAUUGAGAGAGGUGCAAUCCCAUUGAGAGAGGUGCAAUCCCAUUGAGAGAGGUGUAAUCCCAUUGAAACCGGUGCAAUCCCAUUUUCAAGGGAGACCCAGGCUCCAAAAGCCAAACAGAGGAGGA